Long non-coding RNA from Stylophora pistillata, 527 nucleotides. RefSeq lists it as uncharacterized. Lineage: Eukaryota; Metazoa; Cnidaria; Anthozoa; Scleractinia; Pocilloporidae. The record is from RefSeq and is a predicted model, not a curated record.
CGUUGAUCGCUGAUUGGCACUAUCCUUCCACUCUAUUUAUCAGCGUACAGCAAAUAAACAAACAUUAUCAAGGGAUCAUAGCUAGCAAAUUUACGUAGAUGGAAACGCUUAUAUCCUCGACGAGCAAUUGAUCCAGUUUUCGUUCCUUGACGUUAUAGCUAACGAGAAAACAUUGAGAUCUUCAGACCAAUAACUAUCAUCAAGGCUUGGGAUUUACAACGGAAGAAAUAGGCACAAGUAAUGCCACAAUAACUGAUGUUGUAGCAGGAGGGAGUGUCUCGUAUUGAUAAAGGAAUCAGUCAUCGUUUGUAGCCUGGGAUUGGAGGAUCAAAUGUUUUUAAUCAGGCAAGAAGGAGGGGUCAGUCUUCGCCAAUGGGGGGAUUACAUUAAAGCUUAUGGGGGUGACACAACCAAAAUCCUCAAAUUCUCCUCCCCCUGGCGAAAAAUAAUGACCGGUCCCAAAAAGGAAAGGUAAAAAGUUACCGUGGUAAGCAUCUUGUGAAUAGCAAUAAUACAAGCAGCCUGUG